UGGGGGAUAUUGCACAAUGGGCGAAAGCCUGAUGCAGCAACGCCGCGUGAGGGAAGACGGUUUUCGGAUUGUAAACCUCUGUCUUCGGUGAAGAAAAAAAUGACGGUAGCCGAGGAGGAAGCCACGGCUAACUACGUGCCAGCAGCCGCGGUAAUACGUAGGUGGCGAGCGUUGUCCGGAAUUACUGGGUGUAAAGGGAGCGCAGGCGGGGAGACAAGUCAGCUGUGAAAACUAUGGGCUUAACCCAUAAACUGCAGUUGAAACUGUUGUUCUUGAGUGGAGUAGAGGUAGGCGGAAUUCCGAGUGUAGCGGUGAAAUGCGUAGAUAUUCGGAGGAAUACCAGUGGCGAAGGCGGCCUACUGGGCUCUAACUGACGCUGAGGCGCGAAAGUGUGGGGAGCAAACA
RNAcentral lists this ribosomal RNA (405 nucleotides) under uncultured prokaryote. RNAcentral's name for it is "bacterial SSU rRNA". It matches the Rfam family "Bacterial small subunit ribosomal RNA", at positions 355 to 774 of the family's 1533-position model. The record is from RNAcentral.